Molecule: transfer RNA, 68 nt
Filed under: Trimerodytes annularis (Red-bellied annulate keelback)
Lineage: Eukaryota; Metazoa; Chordata; Lepidosauria; Squamata; Natricidae
Description: tRNA-Ser
Source: RNAcentral
GAGAAAAAAGCAUAUAUGCGGUUAACUUGAAAUUAGCAGAAGGUAGUCUAAAAUUCUACCUUUUCUCG